CUCUUUUCAAAGUUAUUGCAUUUAUUCUUUCUAAAUGUAGAACAAUUUGAUUUGUGUUAACCGUAUUGUUUGACUUAAUAGUAAUCAUCUUAGUAAAGAGAUGGUUCAAUGGUUUGUCCACUGUUUUGAUUCGAUAAGAAAGAAAUUUGAAUUUACAAUGUUUUUUGCCCAGUGUUGUGAAAAGCGCAGAAAAGCGCGCUUCAAAGCGAGGCGACCCUUGUGCGCUUUUUUAUCUUGAGGCGAGGCGAUCUGAAAAAAGCUCUCGCUUCAGAUGAAGAAGCGAGAAGCGACCCUAAGGCAAAAACACAAUAAAGCGCGCUUUUUAUAAAAAAAAAGCGACAAUUAGGAUUUUUUUUAAAAAAAAUCUGAAAUAUAACCUUCUCUCUCCUCACGACUCUUCUUUCACGACUCUUUCCCUUCUUUCUCUCCUCGCGACUCUUCUUUCACAAUACUUCUUUCCCUUCUUUCUCUCCUGACGAUCUCGACUGAGGCUGCCUCUCUCUUCAACCUCGACCGCGACUGUAGGUAACUUUUUGUUCAUCUCUUUUUUAGCUAAUGUUUAUUAGUUCAUCUCUAUGAGUUUCUUUUCUCAUGAAAUAUACAAUCUUUGUCUGUGCUUCAUCUCUUCAUCUCUCUGAGUUUCGACUACUCUAGUUUUUUCUUCUUCUUCUCUUCUUUUCUUCCUGCCUGCUCUGUUUCUAAUUACUGACUGCUGCCUCUGUUUUUUUUUCAAUUCUUUUGCUUUUUUUAUUUUAUUUUGUGAUCAGUCUAGCAGCCUUGUUGAAGAAUAGGAGUUUGAAUCGUUGUGAUUUAAUUAUGUUUUUGAUUUUUUGCUUUAUAUGUUAUGACUCAUGAGUAUUUUUGCCUAUGUAAUUUCGUUCAAUAUAAGACUAUUAGCUCUAUUUAGUUAUUUAAUUUUUUUACUUUUAUACUAAAUGUCGCUUUUUUUUAAAAAAGCGAGCGCUUCGCUUCACGCUUCUGUGAAGCAAGCCCUCGUCACUUUUUUCCGCUUCUCGCUUCCCAAAACACUGAUUUUGCCUUGACAAGAUGAACCAACCCCAGCCUUUUUACUCCCAGGCACACAAAGUUGUUGAUGGAUCUCUUCUUAGUCUCAGCUGAGAUCUUUGAUUGUAUGCAUUCACAGAGUCUGUCGAGAACAAGGUAUUUAUAAUUACAUGUAAGUUUGACCUAUGCACAACUAAUGUUUUCUUGAACAAAAAUAAGUAAGGGGGUGUUCAUUGAAAACUUCCAUCAUAUUUUUGCAUUAGUCUAUUAGUUUGAUUUUUUUUCCCACAAACUAUAUGAUUGUGAAUUUCUGAAAGCUGAAUGAAUAAUGAAUAACAGUUUCUUGUUUUUUUUUAUCACUUCUGUUAUGAUAAAUUGAUAAUAUGGAUGACAAUAUUAUUGUACAUAUUUCAGGUAAAAUCAAUAAAUCGAAUCAAAAGAUGUUAUUGAUUUAUCGAUAUUGUGUUUUUGAUGUAAUAGACUAAUAGUGCAGAACGAUUUAGCGUUAUUGGACUUUAGGGUUAUCGAUUUGUCCUAUUUCUCCUAGGAGUUGUUUGGUGUGAGGUAUAAGGAAUUUUAGGGAUAAAAUGCAUGCAUGAUUAUUUUAUCUUGCAUUUGGUUGGAUGUUCUGGACUACUUAUCCAACACUUUAUACCUUAGUGAUGAGAUAAGACUUGACUCGAGAUAAAUAAUUCUGGGAUAACUUCUUUCCAACCAAACGACCCUUAGCGGUUUAACCUAUAACCGGAUAAACUUAUUAUAAUAAAAAAUCCAUUAAAUUAUAAGUUAAUGCUUCCAAAUAAGCUAAUUAGACAUAGCUUUCUAAUGUUGCAAAGUUCUGUUUCACCUAUAAUUAGCAUCUACCAUAAAAAGCUUCUUAUAAUGAUAAGUUAGUACAUCUAACAUCUAGGAUACCAGUAACCUCGAUAAUUUUAAAAUCACUAUCCAAUAUUAAUUUGUAUGUAUCACUAUAUGAUCCAUUACUAAAUUAAUGAUAAGAAAUUCUUACAAAUUAUCUUUUGUGUGAGGUUAACAUAUAUGUGAGUUGAAGAGCUCACACUUUCUAUUACUGGACAACCAUCUUUUUAUCUUAGAAAUAUGGUGAUCUAUGGUGUAUUCUUGAUUCUUAUAUUAAUUCUACUGAUAUGCAAUAACUUCAGAGAAAUUUGAUGCCCUCAUUGCAUAACUUUGAAUUUUAGACAAAUGCUUAGUGAACACACUUAGCAUGUCAGUAGUUCAACAUUUUCGAGCUUACACAAGGCAUCCUUAAAUUUGAUGUUUUCUUGAUAACUAGCUCUUCUUUUAAAUUUGAUGUCAUUAGUUAAUACUUACUCAAUAGACUCAAGAUAAACUUUAUAAAUGGUUGGUCUGAGAUAACAAUUUGUGUAACUCCCUCCUAUUAAUGCUUCAUAAAUUACUGUAAGUUAAUUUAUUUGUGAUUUAAUUGUGAAUUGCUUCUACAUAUAUGGUCUAAGGCAUAAGUUCCUCGGCACGUAAUAACUUUCUGUUUCUACACCAAAUUAAGAUCAUCAGUGUCUUUAUGUCUAUCAUUUUCUCUGACAUGAUAUUUUAAUGGGUGCCUAGUUUUCAACAAGAACUAAAUUAGACUUCAUGUUCUUUUUGAUUUUUUUUUGAGGUAUCAUUUUGUGGGUUGCAGCAAAUUAUGACGAAUACUACUAUUUCCCAUUACAAAUUUGGUGCUCUUUUUAAAUGUGAUCAGAUUAUAUGAUGCUGAUAAUUUACCGGUUAGCUUUUUGUGGAUUGUGAAUUUUGUUUCCAUAUAAAAAGCUUUCUUAAAUUUACAUGUGAUUUUAAAAAUUAUUUGGGUAAUGCUGAAAUUCCAAAUAGUUGUCAGUUCAUUUCUCUACUUCCACAUUUCUUUUGAAUCAAUUUUAUAUACUUAUUAGUUAAUAUUUUACUGGUAUCCUCUGUUAGUGCAGUAAGCUUUCGUGUUGGAGCUUAAUUUUAUCAGCGAGUUUUUCGAAAACUAUCCUUUUCUUAUUGAUUUACUAAUCUGAUUUCACUUGUAGGCUUUGGACUAAGUUAUAAUCUUUUGACUAGAUUUUAAAUUUUUCCAUGGUUUUGAGUGCAGAGCACAUAUAGCUUCGUGGAUUUAAGAGAUGCAUCUACAACAACUCUCUUCUCUAUUUCUUAUACAGCGGAAAUCAUGUGAGGGAAAACUUUAUUCGCAAAAAGGUUGAUCAAAGUAUGUCGAUUGUUCGGCAUAAGGACUGUUGAAGACAAAGCAGAUGGAGUAGAAAUAUUCACUCUUCAGUCCUAUGGAAAGUUUUGUUCAACUCAACAUUAUUUUUUAAUGAUGUAUUAUUUCAUUUAUAUUGCAAAAUUAUAUCUAUAAAUAUUUGAAUUUAUGUUGUCAAUAAAUGAUGUUAAUUUUGAAGGUACUCUCCUUGAUUGAGGGCUGAUAACAAUAUAUGAUUGUUAUUUGGUAUUGACGGUAUUUGCACAUUUAAGAAAUAGAUAUAGCAUUAUGUUCAUCUACAUAUUUCUUUUUUUUUACUACUAUUCCUUCACAAAUAACUUUAUGAAAUAUCUGGAAAAUGUAAAAUGUUGGGCCGUGCUUAGCAGAGGCUACGCUCAUCUAGUAUAUAUAGAAGAGCCAUGAUGAGGAUGAUCAAUGGAAAGUUAAUAAUUUUAAACAUUAUUAUGGA
This 3674-nucleotide long non-coding RNA is filed under the name Solanum lycopersicum (tomato). RNAcentral describes it as "partial TCONS_00008570". The record is from RNAcentral. Lineage: Eukaryota; Viridiplantae; Streptophyta; Magnoliopsida; Solanales; Solanaceae.